UAUGUGACCAGACGUUGGUAUCGUGUUUUAGUGUAGCGGUUUACUUUCUGUUUGCCACGGGCUUCCUUCAAAUAAAUUUUCCCUGUUGCAAACCUCCAAGAUUUAAGUCAGAUAACUUGCAUCAAAUAUGCAGAUGUAAGACAUAAUUUUAAUCCGUAGAAGGUGCUUCAGAAUGACAAGUCCAGAAGUUAUAAGAAUCGAAAGAUAAUUUAGUGAAAGGAAAGUCGAACGUUGGUCGUCUGCGUUUCGUCAAUAGGUGCCUUCUUAAAGGAAAACGUCCUCGAGUCUCGGGGCGCAAUAAACUCUGGCUAAACAGUGCCCUUCUCAAGGCAUUCUCAAUGGAGAAUUUCUCAAGGCAACCUCCAAGCGAGGAACAUCAGAAUAAAAAGAAAAAAUAAAUGACACGAACUUAUGGGGCGACCUAAUACAAUUGGAAGAUAAUACAAUUACAUUCUAUGUAUAAAAGAAAAUAAAAAGCAACAGUUCCAAAUGUUAUACCUAAAACAAUAACGUUGAUAUGCCUACUACUUGGUUUAACCUUCCAUUUGGCGAACAGUUAAGCUAACGGAAAACAGAAAAAUCAUGCAAUGGCCGUAGAAUUUGAAGAAACAUGAACGUACAGUAUCACUGGGUAUG
Nomia melanderi (Alkali bee) is the source of this 636-nucleotide long non-coding RNA. RefSeq lists it as uncharacterized. Lineage: Eukaryota; Metazoa; Arthropoda; Insecta; Hymenoptera; Halictidae. The record is from RefSeq and is a predicted model, not a curated record.